Macaca mulatta (Rhesus monkey) is the source of this 534-nucleotide long non-coding RNA. RefSeq lists it as uncharacterized. The record is from RefSeq and is a predicted model, not a curated record. Lineage: Eukaryota; Metazoa; Chordata; Mammalia; Primates; Cercopithecidae.
UCCCAGCAGGGAGAGGACGGAGCAUAUGAGUCACCACGGAACUUGUUAAAAUACAGAUUCCAAGUCAGUUGGUCUGGAGUGAAGCCUGAGAAUUGCUAACAAGCUCAGAGGAUGCUGAGGCUGCUCAACAGAGUCACCCUCAGGCUUUAGAAAUAGCCUGGAGUUGGAAUGGGAGAGCUGUACGCAGGCCUUGGGCAAGCACUGGGCCCUGUGAUGGCCCUGCUAGAGGCUGCGUGUGAAUAGGCCCAGUCUCAAGGCACAAAACUACUUGCGCCAGCAGCUUGCACCAGCAAGAUAGCAGAAGCAGGAAGAGAGCCAGCCGGAAGACAUGUACCCUGGCCGGAAGACACCUACCCCUGAAGAUCGAUAAAGAGGCCAUCUGGGCACCACGUAGCAGUUAUGUCCGUCUCGUACACUUCCUGUUUACAGGAGACUAUAAAACCCCUGCCCCGUCCUCACUUGGGGCUGACACCAUUUUAGGCCUCAACCCGCCUCUACCCAGGCACUCAUUAAAACAGCAUGUUGCUUCACACA